GACGAACGCUGGCGGCGUGCUUAACACAUGCAAGUCGAACGAACAGGCCCUGCUUUUGUUGCUUUCUCGAUUGCCGAACGCGUGUGUAACACGUGUGUAUCCUCCACUUAUCUUUGUGAUAACUUCACGAAACUCGGGCUCUUACCGCAUAUGAUCUCUUGCUGCGUGUUGGUGGUUGGUAAGUUUCGGCUGUUGUGGAUGGACUCGCGGCUUCUCAGCUUGUUUGUGUAGUAGUGGCUUACCAAGGCUUUGACGGGUGGCCGGCCUGAGAGGGUUACCGGGGACAUGGGGACUGAGAGACGGAGCAGAAGGCUACGGGAGGCAGCAGGGGGGAAUAUUGCACAAUGGGGGGAAGCGUGAUGCAGAAACGCCGCGUGCGGGAUGAUGGCCUUCGGGGGGUAAACAGAUGUCGAAGGUGACGAAGAGGGAGUGACGGUAAUGGGUAAAGAAGCAACGGCUAACUACGUG
RNAcentral lists this ribosomal RNA (468 nucleotides) under uncultured bacterium. RNAcentral describes it as "partial 16S ribosomal RNA". It matches the Rfam family "Bacterial small subunit ribosomal RNA", at positions 28 to 507 of the family's 1533-position model. The record is from RNAcentral.